RNAcentral lists this ribosomal RNA (999 nucleotides) under Bacillus subtilis. Its description in RNAcentral is "bacterial SSU rRNA". It matches the Rfam family "Bacterial small subunit ribosomal RNA", at positions 41 to 1029 of the family's 1533-position model. The record is from RNAcentral. Lineage: Bacteria; Bacillati; Bacillota; Bacilli; Caryophanales; Bacillaceae.
GGCAGCCUUAUACAUGCAAGUCGAGCGGACAGAUGGGAGCUUGCUCCCUGAUGUUAGCGGCGGACGGGUGAGUAACACGUGGGUAACCUGCCUGUAAGACUGGGAUAACUCCGGGAAACCGGGGCUAAUACCGGAUGGUUGUUUGAACCGCAUGGUUCAAACAUAAAAGGUGGCUUCGGCUACCACUUACAGAUGGACCCGCGGCGCAUUAGCUAGUUGGUGAGGUAAUGGCUCACCAAGGCAACGAUGCGUAGCCGACCUGAGAGGGUGAUCGGCCACACUGGGACUGAGACACGGCCCAGACUCCUACGGGAGGCAGCAGUAGGGAAUCUUCCGCAAUGGACGAAAGUCUGACGGAGCAACGCCGCGUGAGUGAUGAAGGUUUUCGGAUCGUAAAGCUCUGUUGUUAGGGAAGAACAAGUACCGUUCGAAUAGGGCGGUACCUUGACGGUACCUAACCAGAAAGCCACGGCUAACUACGUGCCAGCAGCCGCGGUAAUACGUAGGUGGCAAGCGUUGUCCGGAAUUAUUGGGCGUAAAGGGCUCGCAGGCGGUUUCUUAAGUCUGAUGUGAAAGCCCCCGGCUCAACCGGGGAGGGUCAUUGGAAACUGGGGAACUUGAGUGCAGAAGAGGAGAGUGGAAUUCCACGUGUAGCGGUGAAAUGCGUAGAGAUGUGGAGGAACACCAGUGGCGAAGGCGACUCUCUGGUCUGUAACUGACGCUGAGGAGCGAAAGCGUGGGGAGCGAACAGGAUUAGAUACCCUGGUAGUCCACGCCGUAAACGAUGAGUGCUAAGUGUUAGGGGGUUUCCGCCCCUUAGUGCUGCAGCUAACGCAUUAAGCACUCCGCCUGGGGAGUACGGUCGCAAGACUGAAACUCAAAGGAAUUGACGGGGGCCCGCACAAGCGGUGGAGCAUGUGGUUUAAUUCAAAGCACGCAAAGAACCUUAAAGUCUUGAAUCCUCUGACAUCCUAGAGAUAGGACGUCCCUUCGGGGCAA